AGAGAUUGUCAGGGUCUUGCUGAAAGAUGGAGCUGACAGUAGUCUGAAAAACAACCACAAUGACACUGCCAUCAUGGUUGCAAAAAACAAAAAGGUAUCUGAUGUGCUGCGUGGGAGAGGCACUCGCAGCUGCACUGUGAAAACUAGCAGUAACGGCUCUCUGUCCCCUGGCAGCUCCAACCAUUCUCCCCGAAUGACUCCCACUUUUCAGCGCAGUGCGUCACUUUCUCCUGUGACUCCAGUUUUACCGCGAAGUCAGUCAGCGGACAGCAUUUCAGAACGUCAGUCACCGAUGAACAGCAAUGAAAAAACACUGCAAACAUUGCCACUGACACACCAUAAUGUAGCAGUGGACAACAGGGCAGGCUACGGAAUGGCACUCCAUCAUUUCCCAUCAUAUCUGUUACCGUCUGGGUACGACCCACUGGGUAAGCCCACUGUCUCUCAUAUCCAGAGAAGGAUGCUAAUCGCAGAUUACCCUCUUUACUAUCCCACUGGUAUUCAAACAUCUCCAUAUUACUCAGAUGCACAGAUCAUCUUACUCCCCAGUUUCCCCGUGCCGGUCACAUAUGGCUCUCCUUCACAGGGGGCUGUUAGCCAAUCACGGCCGUCCAGUCGCAGCAGUGAGCAAUCAGACAUGUCUACUGUGAGUGUAAACAGUGAAGAAAGAGGUGUGAGUUGAUAUUAGAUAGAUGUUUAAGCAGCUGGACGUCUUAAAGGUAUAGAUCACCCAAAAAUGGAAAAUUCUGUCAUUAUUUAUUCACCCUCAUGUUGUUCCAAACCUGUAUGAGUUUUGAUUAUUUUUAGUUGAUGAGAAGAUAUUUUGAUGAAUUUUGGUAACCAAACAGUCGCUGGUAGACAGUGACGUCCAUGGUUUGGAAAAAAUAUACUAUGAAAUUCUAUGGCUAACUGCAACUAUUUGGUAAGCAAAAUUCUUCAAAAUAUCUUCUUUUGUGUUCAGCAGCAUACAGGUUUAGUGGGUGAAUUAUCCCUUUAAAGGGAUAAUUAAAAUUAUUUUAUCAUUUAUUCAACCUCAUGUUGUUCCAAACCUGUAUGAGUUUCUUUCUUCUGCGGAACAUAUUUUGAAGAAUGAUGGUAACCAGACAGUUUUGGUGACCAUUGUAAGAUGGAAUUGCAUGCGGGUUAAUAAAUGAUGAUUUUGAGUGAAUUAUUCCUUUAAGUGGCGUUGUUUGAAUAUUAUUUGUGUUUGGACAACAUACUGACUGAUUUAUAGCAUUUAUAUGUAUCUAAG
Molecule: long non-coding RNA, 1252 nt
Filed under: Sinocyclocheilus anshuiensis
Lineage: Eukaryota; Metazoa; Chordata; Actinopteri; Cypriniformes; Cyprinidae
Description: lncRNA (ENSSANG00000030137.1)
Source: RNAcentral